UACGGAGGAUCCAAGCGUUAUCCGGAAUCAUUGGGUUUAAAGGGUCCGUAGGUGGACGAUUAAGUCAGGGGUGAAAGUCUGCAGCUCAACUGUAGAAUUGCCCUUGAUACUGGUUGUCUUGAAUCAUUGUGAAGUGGUUAGAAUAUGUAGUGUAGCGGUGAAAUGCAUAGAUAUUACAUAGAAUACCAAUUGCGAAGGCAGAUCACUAACAAUGUAUUGACACUGAUGGACGAAAGCGUGGGUAGCGAACAGG
This 253-nucleotide ribosomal RNA is filed under the name uncultured bacterium. RNAcentral describes it as "partial 16S ribosomal RNA". It matches the Rfam family "Bacterial small subunit ribosomal RNA", at positions 524 to 776 of the family's 1533-position model. The record is from RNAcentral.